UGAGGCUUUAUUCCUUUAUUUAAAAGCCCAUUAUAAUAAGGAAGAAGAGGCUGCACGUGCACACACGGGCCACGUGUCACUCACUUCCUCACCUUACAGGUGAUUUCUAUUGGGCAUGUCUUAAGCCCAAACUUCAUAAGCCGGUAAAACCAACGACGAACUUAAAAAAACUCCGCCGUAGAUUCUCAAGAUCGGAUAUUUAGCGCUAGACAGAGGCAGAGAUGCAGAGGGACGUGUCGAGCAGCAACACUUAGAAUUAUGGAGACGCACACAACUGGGACGCUCGUUACGUGCAAGACGCGCUAUCCUUCGACUGGUACCAACGCUAUUGGAGUAUUAAUGUUAAUGGUUAAGGUUUUCUUUGGCCUAACCACUCUGGUUUAGCUUCCAUUUACUAAACCGGAUGUAUACAGUUGUAAAGCUUAACUUUCUAAACACUCUUUUCACAGAAUAACAAACUUUCUAUCAUUUUGAUUCUCAAGUUGUAAUACGGUAUCAGAGCAGUGAAGAUUCGCGUUUUCCUGCCAAAUUUUCUCGGAAAAACCUUCGCAUUUUCUCUUCAAUUCAUCUUUUCCUCUUCGAGUUAUCUUUCAUGAGCUUAUCAUUGAGAGAUCUCGUUCGUUUUUUCGUCAACACUCUGUUUCUGGAGAUCUUUGCGAUUUAUUGAUUUCUCUGGUCAAUCACACAGUUAGACAUCAGUAACGCGUUUCUGAAUGGUGAUCUUGAUGAAGAAAUAUACAUGCGAAUUCCAGAGGGUUAUGAGGAGCUUACAUACAAGAAAGUUCCACCUAAUUCUGUGUGUAAACUUCACAAAUAGCUUUAUGGUCUCAAACAAGCAUCCAGACAGUGGAAUCAUAAACUCUCUCAUGUGAUUUUUUCUGCUGGAUUCAAGAAGACACAUUCUGAUCAUUCCUUAUUCAUUCGAUAUGACGACAAGGUGUUUCUUUCUGUGCUCGUCUACGUGGAUGAUAUUCUUAUCAUUGGAAACAGUGAUGCAGCCAUUGAUGAUUUCAAGAGUAUACUCAAGGCGACCUUGGUCCUGCUAAAUAUUUUCUUGGGUUUGAAAUAGCAAGGAACAAUACGGGUAUAUCUCUUAAUCAAAGGAAGUAUGCUUUGGAACUUCCGGAAGAAGCUGGUAUGUUAGGCUGCAAACCUCUCUCUGUUCCGAUGGAACCAAACACCAAGUUUUCUCUGAAAUUUGGUGAUCCUUUAUCUGAUCCAUCGGUAUUCAGAAGACUUGUUGGAAGGUUUCUUUAUCUUACACAUACAAGACCUGAUAUUACUUUUGCUGUCCAUAAGUUGAGCCAGUUUAUGGCGGCUCCAACAAACCUUCAUCUUCAAGCUGCUUAUCGAGUACUAAGAUACUUGAAGAAUGAUCCGGCGCAGGGUUUGUUUUACUCUGCUUCUUCAGAUUUGAAGCUCUGAAGCUGAGUAUCGUGCUAUGGCUGACGCAACCUGUGAGCUCAUUUGGAUACAUACGUUGUUACAAGAAAUACAUUGUGCUCCUCCUGGUCCUGCCACUCUCUUCUGUGACAACCAAUCAGCUCUAUACAUUGCUUCAAAUCCAGUGUAUCAUGAGCGCACAAAGCACAUCCAGAUUGAUUGUCAUGUGGUUAGAGAAAGGUUACAAAGUGGCCUCCUCAAGACUUUACAUGUGCGGUCUGAGUUGCAGUUAGCGGAUGUGUUUACCAAGCCGGUUCAACCAAGUCUCCUCAGAAGUUUACUUGUCAAGAUGAGAAUUCACAGCUUAUGCAUUCCAUCUUAAGGGGAGGGCAUUGGAGUAUUAAUGUUAAUGGUUAAGGUUUCCUUUGGCCUAACCACUCUGGUUUAGCUUCCAUUUACUAAACCGGAUGUAUAUAUAUAUGAGUGUCGAUACAGUUGUAAAGCUUAACUUGAGCUAAACACUCUUUUCACAGAAUAACAAACUUUCUAUCAUUUUGAUUCUCAAGUUGUAAUAAACACUACUCUUCUCUUCGUCCUUUCGUCAGAAGCUUCGUCCCUGCUUCUUCAAAAGUCCUCAUGGUUGGCUGUGGCAAUUCUCGUAAACUACUCUCACCCUUCCUCUCACUUUCUUGACCUUUAGAACAUUCCAAGUUGAAACUUUUUUUAACUGUUUUGUGCAGUUAUGUCAGAGGAUAUGGUCAAGGACGGGUACGAGGAUAUAAUGAACGUUGACAUAUCUUCAGUUGCUAUUGAGAUGAUGCGAACCAAACAUGCUUCUGUUCCUCAGCUUAAAUGUACAACACUUUACAUCUCCAGUUUCUGUUGCUUUUUUUUUUUGAAAAAUUAUGUAAAGGAAGAAGCUUUUAUUGAUACCCAACAGAUAUGCAAAUGGAUGUUAGAGAUAUGAUCUGCUUUGAAUACGAGUAUUUUGACACUGUCAUUGAUAAAGGAACACUUGAUUCAUUGAUGGUACGGAGUGUAUCUUGAAUCUUCUCAUUUUUUACAUGUCUCCUUGUUUAAAAUUUCUUCUUUUGUGGCGGUGUGUGUGUGUGCUUCCAGUGUGGGGAUGAUGCUGAUUAAACCUGGAGGGACCUAUUUCUUGAUAACCUACGGUGAUCCCAAAGUGAGAAUGCAUCAUCUGACUCCUUCUGCAUACAACUGGAACAUCUCCUUAUAUAUACUACGUAAUAAGCUUCCACUUCUUUUGCAAGAGUAUGAAACUGCAUUCUUUGCUUGAGCCCUUUUCAUCCCGUUUGCAGCAAGACCAGGGUUUAAAAAGCCAGGAAACAGUAGUAGCUCCUCAGCCAAACCGUGUCUGGAAGCUAUACCUUUGACAAGUGAAGGAAUGUUGCCACCUGACUAUGUUCUGGAGGAUCCUGAUUCCCAUUUUAUUUACAUAUGCAAC
This is a long non-coding RNA of Brassica napus (rape), 2848 nucleotides long. RefSeq lists it as uncharacterized. The record is from RefSeq and is a predicted model, not a curated record. The transcript has 3 exons. Lineage: Eukaryota; Viridiplantae; Streptophyta; Magnoliopsida; Brassicales; Brassicaceae.